AGUGAACGCUGGCGGUAGGCCUAACACAUGCAAGUCGAACGGCAGCACAGUAAGAGCUUGCUCUUACGGGUGGCGAGUGGCGGACGGGUGAGGAAUACAUCGGAAUCUACUUUUUCGGGGGGGAUAACGUAGGGAAACUUACGCUACUACAGCAUACGAUCUACGGGGGAAAGCAGGGGAUCUUCGGGCCUUGCGCGAUUGAAUGAGCCGAUGUCGGGUUAGCUAGUGGGCGGGGUAAAGGCCCACCAAGGCGACGAUCCGUAGCUGGUCGGAGAGGAUGGUCAGCCACACUGGAACUUAGACACGGUCCAGACUCCUAAGGGAGGCAGCAGUGGGGAAUAUUGGGCAAUGGGCGCAAGCCUGAUCCAGCCAGACCGCGUGGGUGAAGAAGGCCUUCGGGUUGUAAAGCCCUUUUGUUGGGAAAGAAAAGCAGCAGGUUAAUACCCCGCUGUUCUGACGGUACCCAAAGAAUAAGCACCGGCUAACUUCGUG
RNAcentral lists this ribosomal RNA (492 nucleotides) under uncultured bacterium. Its description in RNAcentral is "partial 16S ribosomal RNA". It matches the Rfam family "Bacterial small subunit ribosomal RNA", at positions 29 to 507 of the family's 1533-position model. The record is from RNAcentral.